UAGAGUAGAGGGACGCGGAGAAAGAGGAGCGGAGGGGACGGGAGGAGUUAAGCUGUGGAGGUAUCAGGUAUCUAGCGUAGAGGAGGGAACACAAGAUGCGGAGAGGUGCGACGUUCAUCGUGGAGCGGUCAGCGGAGCUGAGGCUGCGCAUGCGCUACGAUGGGCGUGCAGCGGCCAUCGGAGCUGGGCCAUGCGGGCGCGACGGCGGUCGUGUAGCUGCCAGCGGACCUGGGGCCCCGCGGGCAGGACGGCGGAGGUGCAGCGACCAAUCGGAGCUGGGGCCACUCGGGCGCGACGGCAGACGUGUAGUGGCCAGCCGUUGCGUUGAGGCGACAUCGAACCCAUAGUGUUACUCAGUCGUGUUCAUACCUUUGAAUUGUCGUAAUCGAGCCCUUUCUACGAGGAGUAUCAACUUAUUCAGACCUGACCAUGUGGUCCCAUAACCAUCCGCCUGGAACGGUCUCUUUAGUUCAGUUUAUCGUCUAAAGUCGUCUUUUUCCCAAUGAGUGUUCGGAUUAAACGUUCUACUCCUUGACACCUUUUUCAUACUCAAUCGAUGUUUUCUACCUUUACUACGCCGUUGUUUAUGUGGUUAGAACAAAUGAUGUUUAAAACUACGACUACUAAAGGCUUGAUACUCACUACUUCGACUAUGGUCGUUACUACCACUGUACCCUUUACUAUACGUACUAAAAGUACUACUUAAUUACCCAUUACUUUUAGACCUUUCACUUCUUAGGGUCCUAUCGGUACCGAAACGUCCAUGGAGUUUCUAAUCAUUCGUGUUGUUACGUUGACUUAAUCAACUACUUUUAGACCUUUCACUUCUUCACGUCCCAUUGGUACCGGAACGUCGAUGCAGGUUCUGAUCUGGAGCUUGUCCACUUUUCGCAUCCCAGGCACCCUUUUUAUUUACGUUCCUUCAUCGACUAGAGUACCUCAGGGUUUUUUAAUUUCAGGCUAAAAUGUUAUUAACACGCGAAACGUUUUCAAAACGUGCUGUGAACCCAUCUUAGCAGGCAUUAGGAUCUUAACGGGGCUACUCCCAUUUCCUUACCAGGUUAUAAUGACUACGUCGAGCCUUUGUAUAUAAACUACGUUAAUUCCUGUUCAAGCUUUUAUAACUGUUGUUGUAACGUUAUCUACACAUGUUUGUACUCUAUAAUCUGGUACAGUUCUUUGAAACCUAGUUGACCGCACCUCUGAACGUGGCCGUAAAACACUUUGGGUUGUUCUGAUACGUCCUCCGAUACUUUUUCCAUGGAUUUCUAUAAGGCUUCCUACUGACCCUUACCGAACACUUCCUCGUAAAAAAGUCGUUCCUCAAAGACUUUUUCUCGUUCUCUUUGUGGGUUUUGUCUCGAUUGGAGUUUUACGAAGUGGCUAGACCGUCAUUUGGGAAAUCUGUCUAUUAAACCCUGUACCCUCCUUUCCUUUUGUUCGGUGGCUCAUACCUAUUUGAUAAAAGUCUCUGUGUGUUCUUCCCAUGUCUGAAGGGACUAAGAUGUUGGAGGCGGUUUGUACGUGUUUAAUUCUGGUAUCAAGUCAGCUUAGGACCAGAAAGUUUACUACUUCAGUACGUCUUUACACUGUGUAGAUUCGCCGCACUAGCGCAUCAACCGAAACCACCACCUUAAUCUCGUGGUCUAAACACUCCUGGUCGUAAUUCAUUCCGACUUAAUCAAAGAGUUGAAGUUCGAAGACUCGUUCGCUUUGUUCAUGAGCUUCUUUUCCAGUUACCGUACCGCGUGCUUCAUAGUCUUUAAUUCGCAGAAGAUAGACCAUCUAAAAAUUGACUAUCAAGAGUACUUGCGGUUGUACUAGUUCUGACUACCAGGUGGUUACUUAGUUCGUAUUCCUCCGUAACAUUAGCGACCACUUCUUACUAUAGGUAAGUUUGUUGCUACCACAAGGAGAUAACUUCUGAUUAUUUAUAAUAGAAAAGAUCAACAGAACAAAAGGUAUAUCUAUACUAGUUCAUGUAACCACUAUAUUCCUCAGGAAAACUGAGUUUAAACAAUGUUCUAUAAAAUUAAAGUCUUAACAUACAGUCUUAUAACCAUGAAGAUAAUUAUUUUCUCCG
RNAcentral lists this ribosomal RNA (2083 nucleotides) under Triticum aestivum (bread wheat). RNAcentral's name for it is "partial small subunit ribosomal RNA". Lineage: Eukaryota; Viridiplantae; Streptophyta; Magnoliopsida; Poales; Poaceae. The record is from RNAcentral.